Jaculus jaculus (lesser Egyptian jerboa) is the source of this 105-nucleotide small nuclear RNA. The record is from Ensembl. Lineage: Eukaryota; Metazoa; Chordata; Mammalia; Rodentia; Dipodidae.
GUGCUCACUUCAGCAGCACGUGUUCUAGAACUGAAACCAAGCAGAGAUUAGCAUGGCUCCUGCACAAGGAUGACCUGAAGAAAUUCACAGUAAGUUCCUGUGUAA